Molecule: long non-coding RNA, 259 nt
Filed under: Malus domestica (apple)
Lineage: Eukaryota; Viridiplantae; Streptophyta; Magnoliopsida; Rosales; Rosaceae
Description: long non-coding RNA (MDOM_LNC011869)
Source: RNAcentral
UUUUUUUUUUAUAGAGAAAACAAAACUAAAAAAUAAAAAGCAACAACACAGAAACAAAUGAAACCAGUUCGAAGUUGAAGGUACAAAAAAAUUUUAAUUUGGUCAUUUUUACCCUUUACCCCCAUACUUAAACUGGACAUUUCCCCAAUGUCAGAAAACAUUAUAAUGCAAAAAUAAAUAAAAUAAACAAAAUAAUAAAAAACAAAAUAAAGCAAUUGGACUGAAAACUUCCCUAAUUUGCAGUAAAAUCAAGCGAUGA